CAGGCGAGCGCCCAUUCAUAUGUGACCACUGCGGCAAAACCUUCAGUCAGAAGUCCCACGUGGUCGGGCACAUUCGCACCCACACCGGUGAGAGACCUUACCAGUGCCACCUCUGUCCCUGGGAUUCUGCAUGGAAAAGUGAGCUUACACGUCACUUGAAGAACAUUCACAAGUGCAGCCAACACUCACCUCAAAGUGCACACGUGUGAAUCGCAAAGAAAACGACUGAGGAGACGUCUUGUUCUGUGGCUUCAAGUGCGUUGCCAAAAGUGCUAAGGUGAGGACUACAUCGUUCAUGCCUGGAGAAAACCUACAACUGUGCUGCUUGAACGACAUAAAGUACGCGCGUAACUCCAGGACACGUGCCAGCAAUGUGCAAAACUUGUGACUUCCCAACACUCAUGACUUCCCAACAAGUGCACACAUGUACACAUGAAACUCAUGACUUCCCAAGUGCACACAUGUUCCUACUUUCUUCUGGCUUUGCUGCUAUUCAUCAUCACCCUGACCAGCCAGCUCGUCUGAGAUCUUCGACAAAAGAGCGUGUGUUCACAUGUUAUGUG
This 563-nucleotide unclassified non-coding RNA is filed under the name Rhipicephalus microplus (southern cattle tick). Its description in RNAcentral is "zinc finger protein 782-like, transcript variant X5". The record is from RNAcentral. Lineage: Eukaryota; Metazoa; Arthropoda; Arachnida; Ixodida; Ixodidae.